RNAcentral lists this ribosomal RNA (467 nucleotides) under uncultured bacterium. RNAcentral describes it as "partial 16S ribosomal RNA". It matches the Rfam family "Bacterial small subunit ribosomal RNA", at positions 28 to 507 of the family's 1533-position model. The record is from RNAcentral.
GACGAACGCUGGCGGCGUGCUUAACACAUGCAAGUCGAACGGAAAGGCUCCAGCUUGCUGGCGUACUCGAGUGGCGAACGGGUGAGUAACACGUGGGUAAUCUGCCCUGCACUCUGGGAUAAGCCUGGGAAACUGGGUCUAAUACUGGAUAUGACCUUUCUCCUUAUGGGGUUUGGUGGAAAGUUUUUCGGUGUAGGAUGAGCCCGCGGCCUAUCAGCUUGUUGGUGGGGUGAUGGCCUACCAAGGCGACGACGGGUAGCCGGCCUGAGAGGGUGAUCGGCCACAUUGGGACUGAGAUACGGCCCAGGCUCCUACGGGAGGCAGCAGUGGGGAAUAUUGCACAAUGGGCGGAAGCCUGAUGCAGCGACGCCGCGUGAGGGAUGACGGCCUUCGGGUUGUAAACCUCUUUCAGCAGGGACGAAGCGUAAGUGACGGUACCUGCAGAAGAAGCACCGGCUAACUAUGUG